AUUGAACGCUGGCGGCAGGCCUAACACAUGCAAGUCGAACGGUAACAGGAAGCAGCUUGCUGCUUUGCUGACGAGUGGCGGACGGGUGAGUAAUAUCUGGGAAACUGCCUGAUGGAGGGGGAUAACUACUGGAAACGGUAGCUAAUACCGCAUAACGUCGCAAGACCAAAGAGGGGGACCUUCGGGCCUCUUGCCAUCGGAUGUGCCCAGAUGGGAUUAGCUAGUAGGUGGGGUAACGGCUCACCUAGGCGACGAUCCCUAGCUGGUCUGAGAGGAUGACCAGCCACACUGGAACUGAGACACGGUCCAGACUCCUACGGGAGGCAGCAGUGGGGAAUAUUGCACAAUGGGCGCAAGCCUGAU
Molecule: ribosomal RNA, 363 nt
Filed under: uncultured Escherichia sp.
Lineage: Bacteria; Pseudomonadati; Pseudomonadota; Gammaproteobacteria; Enterobacterales; Enterobacteriaceae
Description: bacterial SSU rRNA
Rfam family: Bacterial small subunit ribosomal RNA
Source: RNAcentral